GAUGAAGAACGCAGCGAAAUGCGAUACGUAAUGUGAAUUGCAGAAUUCAGUGAAUCAUCGAAUCUUUGAACGCAUAUUGCGCUCUCUGGUAUUCCGGAGAGCAUGCUUGUUUGAGUAUCAGUAAACACCUCAACUUCCAUAUCUUUUUUGAAAUGGGAGUUGGACUUGAGUGAUCCCAACGCUUUUCCUCACCGAAAAGUGGCGGGUUACUUGAAAUGCAGGUGCAGCUGGACUUUUCUCUGAGCUAUAAGCAUAUCUAUUUAGUCUGCCUAAAAAACAGAUUAUUACCUUUGCUGCAGCUAACAUAAAGGAGAUUAGUUCUUGUGCUGACUGAUGCAGGAUUCACAAAGACAGCUUCGGCCGACUUUGUAAACUCGAUCUCAAAUCAAGUAAGACUACCCGCUGGACUUAAGCAUAUCAAUAAGCGGAGGA
Molecule: unclassified non-coding RNA, 432 nt
Filed under: soil metagenome
Description: partial contains 5.8S ribosomal RNA, internal transcribed spacer 2, and large subunit ribosomal RNA
Rfam family: 5.8S ribosomal RNA (bases 1-120)
Source: RNAcentral